UCGUAUCCACCCCAGCGCUUAGUACGCUGCUCGGCACAUAGUAAGCGCUUAACGAAUACCACGGUUAGUAUUAAUGCCAAGAUCAGAUAGCGUUUCCAGGAAAAGGGUAUGGUCCACUGUGUCAAAGGCAACCAAGAGGUCAAGGGGGAUUUAGGGUAGAGUCCGUCAGAUUUGGCAAGGAGGAGGCGACCUUGGAGAGGGUGGUCUCCGUGGAGCGAAGCGGGUGUAAACCGGAUUACUGAACGUCCAAGAAGAGAGUGGGAGGAGGGGAAGUGGAGGCAGAAGGUGAACACAAUCCAUUCAAGGAAUUGAAAUUCUGUAAAGUUGCAGAGGCUCAAGGAAUGCGGAAGAGUGCCCGAUCCAGUCCAGCGAGGGUGAAGCAGAGGCCGAUAAACAGAGCGGGGUCAUAUGCAUUUGACCAAAAUGUCACCCAUGCCAAUGGGUGGAGCAGAGUCCGACGGAGCCCGUACGUCAAAGACGACCACUUCCUAGUAAAGAGAUUUCUUGAAUAGUGAGAGCGCUGAGGUUUCUUCUGGAAGACGACGACUUGGCCUUUAAUUUUUAAACACACGGAAGACAACAUUUUUCAAUUCUACACUUCCCCCAUCCAAGGGACGAGGGAUGUGACCUAAGGAAAGUGAUUUUUCAAACGUUUUCUCAAUUUGGAAUGGCUUCUCAGCAAAUACGGUGCACUUUGACAUCUUACAUUAGAGGGCAAUAGUUUAUUCAGCUUGAAAAGAUAUUGUCUCACAAACAAAAGAAAUCACUACAUGGAAAUCAAACAAAAAAAUCACACUGGUUGCAACCCAACAGAUCAAAUCCACGGGCAUUGUGGCCCGCUUUCUGGAGUGAAUGUAAAUUUCCAAGUUUAUCAAUUCAUGCCCACGGCACUAAUUUUUAACAUUAGCUUCUCCAUUGUCUUUCAUUUUCGUUAUUGUUGCUCCAAAAUAGAAUCCUGGGAGAUGAAAUACUGUGACUUAUUUGUUGGCUUGUUCUGUCAGGUACAUCAGUGACCUGGGAUCUAUUUAUGUAAAUGAUCUGAUUUUCAUAAGCAGAAAAACCCCAAAACAAAUCCUGGUAGCAGAGAAACCAAGUCAGGAUGCAUCGAGGCAAACGAUAGGAUCAAGUGAGUUUUCCAAAAUAUAGCCUUUCAUCUUCGGUCUUGUUCUUAACGCUGAAAAAGAGGCAGUUCAAUAUAA
Long non-coding RNA from Ornithorhynchus anatinus (platypus), 1199 nucleotides. RefSeq lists it as uncharacterized. The record is from RefSeq and is a predicted model, not a curated record. NCBI's taxonomy places the organism in Eukaryota, Metazoa, Chordata, Mammalia, Monotremata, Ornithorhynchidae. The transcript has 2 exons.